AGGUAGAAAGAAUAUUCAGAUCGUUGAAUCUCGUCAAAACGAAGAUAAGGAUUCGAAUGUGUACAGACAUGGUAAACGUCAUAUGAGGGAUUCGUGCAUGUCUUAGCAGACAGAAUCGGUGCUGCCAUAAUUACAUAUUUCCUGAGUGAGUUCUUAGAACAAUUGGGGCUACUGAAGCAUAUACAUUGAGACCAUCAACUUCUACUGCAGCUUCCCUUUCCCAUGAGGAUGAUGGCGUUAAUGGUUUAAGACUACAUUCUCAUCCAGUUUUAGAUAAGUUUAGAAAAAAAAAUGUUAUUUAGAAUCUAGUUAUUUUAAGGCAUUUUUUAGUCUAUUUUACUAUGAAUCUAGUUGGAAAUAUACUGUUGGCAACACUAAUUUCCAGUUUCCACAAUCGAUUAGUCCAGAUCAGUUAUUCAGUUUGUUCGCGUUGCCGAGAUGUCUCGUCGAAUGGUUAGCGCCCGUCGCCAUAGUUCCAUGGGGUUUUAUCCAGAGAAGAGAUCAUUGAGGUUUCGUAGUGAAGCGAAGCGAAAGCGUUUCACGUUACUCCACUUUUUAGCUAUAAAGCUGGUACGAGUCACGUGGUGAGAGACGCCGAAAGACCUGGUUCAAGUGGGUGAAGAAGAAUCAUCCCUGCUUAUAAUGAUGAGAUACUUGUUUGCCAAUCUGGUUUCCCUAUACCAGCAUUCUGUCUUAUCUGCUACACUUCCAAGAUGUUUUUGAACUGGUAGAAGUCGAGGAAGAAGCUUCCAAGAAGUGGCAAGAUGAUCUGGGUUAUAAGUCAAUUGAUUGUGACCUCAAAAAAAUUGAGACAUGACAAGGUUAUUGGAGCCCAAUCAGAUACACAAAAUGCUGCACUGGCAACAUUUUUGCAAUUACGCCCAUUUAUAAAGGUGUCAUGGUUCAAUAUUUAUGCAGGAGACUACCAAAGGCUUGUUUAAUCUAUGCCUCACCAAGUUGCUGCACUCUGAUGGGCAAAAGGUCCUACACGAUAUUAUGAGGUGUCACAUUGCAUUAGCACACAAAGAAGCUGCCAUGUAAAACACACAAGAGUUUAUGUAAGGGUGCUUGCACUGGUGCCUGCCAUCCUGAUAGUCAUUAAUUGUAGCCAAACUUGAAGGUUACCACCAUAGAGCAGAUCAAUGAGAAAAUGUUGCAUUGGUCAGGGAAUUAAUGUGAACGAUGGAAAGGUGAUGAAAAACAGUGCAUAUAUUGAAUGAUUUAAUAGAGACCAUUACACUGUGAGGUGCCUCACAUUAUGGUGAUGUCAAUGAUGACUUUAUCAUAAAAUAUUUGUGUACGAGAUCAGAUAUGAGGGUUAUAACUGUACAAAAGUCACUACUUGUGCACGCAAAGAGGAAGGCUUUGGAAAGAUCAACUUAUAAUUCAUUGAGACUUCAUCCAUGUUCGGUUGUGGACAGUUCCAAACUGCCGAUGACAACUUCAUUUAUGGACUUGCUUAAAAAAGACCACAUCAAGGAAGAUGCAGCUGUUGCAUAAUAUGUUGAUUGAAAUAAAAUGAUUGACAUGAUUUGUUAUUGAUCUGUUACAUUUGUCAAAUAUAUCAAUGGUGUAUCACUUAA
Schistocerca nitens (vagrant locust) is the source of this 1583-nucleotide long non-coding RNA. RefSeq lists it as uncharacterized. The transcript is spliced from 7 exons. NCBI's taxonomy places the organism in Eukaryota, Metazoa, Arthropoda, Insecta, Orthoptera, Acrididae. The record is from RefSeq and is a predicted model, not a curated record.